Molecule: non-coding RNA, 2503 nt
Organism: Phasianus colchicus (ring-necked pheasant)
Lineage: Eukaryota; Metazoa; Chordata; Aves; Galliformes; Phasianidae
Source: RefSeq, a predicted model, not a curated record
UUGAUCACCUGAGACAACACUGAGUCAACCAUGGGAGCACAGGUGAAGGCAAUUCAGCUGCGUGACUGAAGGGGAGGAGUCUGGCUGCACCUCUCCUAGACCCCAUUUAAGUGGGGAAGGACCUCUUGCUGGUGGAUCUUUCUUCUGUGAAUCUGGAAUCUUCUAUAGGUGUCACUUCUGAGAAUCCUAUGACUGCUACAACAACUCCAAAUACUGUGCUAGUCUCUCAGGUUGCAAGCUGUUAUGGAUCUACCUCAGCUUGUUUCCUCCCAGUUUCUAGACUGUUUAGAUGUAAACAGGAGACAUCUACCCCAUUUUCUGUAUGGUCUUACCUUUCCGUGGCAGAAUCUACUACCCUGCUUUGUUCCAAGUUCAUGUGCAGUUAUGAUACCAGCAGCAUGCUUUGCUCAGAACCAAAAUUAAGUCAAAAUAUUGGGUCGGUGUAUCUGAGAAAGGUGACUGUUGUUCCUCAGCCAUCUGACCAUGCUUGUACCUUCCUGUCUCCCAGGAAACUCAAGUGGAACGAGGUUAAGCUGCAGUGGGAAAUCGCCUUCCUUGUAUAAGAUGGAAGCUGUUAUGCUAUGAUUAAAACUACUGUACUACCUGUUCAAAAUGUAAACCAGUGUACUUUGUAUGCAGCUCAUGUUCUUUGACAUGAUCUUCUUUUAUCCUUUUCUUGAGAUAUUGUCUUCAGACAUUGGGUUUCCUUUGCAUCACUUGGCAUCAAUAAAUCUGCAGCUCUGAAUAAUUUUAUUACUUAUUACUAUGCAUUAAUGCUAAUGAAUUAUGUAAUUUCUAUGCUGUUAUUUGUUGUUUUUCUUCAUUAAAAUUGAGACACGAUGUAUUGGUGCUUGAAAAAUAUCCUGUUACUUCUUAGAACUUGAACUGCAUUUUGUUUCUGUGUUUAGAUCUUUAGCUUUCUUUGAUUUAUAAGGUUCAUCUGAUGGUACGUUUCUAUAUCUCUGAGAGACUAAGACCCCUUUCGUUUGGAACAUUACAGAUUAUGAAACAUUUCAGAUGUUGUCGAGACUUCCCCAAUGCGUUUCCAUCAACUCCAGUGAGGAAAUAAAGCAGUAAUUCUCAGGAAUAGUUUUUGGAGUCAUUCAGUAGACGUAUUUAGAGAGCGUCUUGUAGGCACCUGGAAGCCGGGAAAUUAUCACAUAAGAUUUUAGAGGAUUCAUUUAUUUUAAAAACCUUUGAAUCAACCAAGUUCUUUCAUCUCAGGAUUGUCCUCUGUUAUUCUGUUCAGAUGCCUUGUUUUCUUGCUUGCAUUAGUAUAUCAUGGGAUAUACUAAUAGCUUUUUGCUUAUUCAGGAAACAGGAUCUUAAGUCAAACAUCAGUUAUCUGGCACUUCUUGUCAUGUGUGACCCUUCUUAUAUCGUGAACACAUUUGGUUUAUGGCCUGCAUUUAUCACAAAAGGCCUUUAUUCUGCAUUUACAGUGGUACGAAGGAAGGGAAUGAAUCUAUGUGCAUAUAAAAUGACUUAAUAACUACAGUCAUACUAGUCUGAAACAAUAAGGAUACAUUAUUUUUGGUGGGAGGUAGGAAGAAAUAAAUUCCUCUGCCACUGUAAUAGGUUUCUUGAUUUGUUUUGUUGUUUCUUAGUGUCCUUCAUAACUAUAUCAUUUGAACAAUAUUGCUAGUAAGAAAUCAGCAUGCUCUGACAAUUACCAAAAUAGGAAAUCCUGUUAGAUUUGUUGUGUUGGUAGUCGUAAACAGAGUGAAACGCUAUCCGUAAAUGCAAGAAAACACUGCCAUGAAAAGCCUGGCUACUUAAGUUUCCGUGCAAUUUCAGUUGAUAAUGCCACCUCAAUAGGUAUUAGACUUGAAAAUGAGUAAUUUGGGCAAGGGAGAUGAAGUCAAUAGAAUUUAGUAGGUUAUAAGGUUAUGUGGGACUUGCAUAAUUUGUCUGGCAAGGUCUGUUGUCAUAUAAUCCAAUGCACAAGGGGUUUCCUUAAAAGAAUUUAAAUGAUCUUCAACUUGACAAAUCUUUUAUUUUAAGAAGAUUAAUUACUCCCUCAACAGUCAGGCCUCCAUAAAUGCAUUUCUACCUGUGAUCCUAGAGAGCAGUGAGUUUGAGUUUAGGACAGAUAUCUUUUAUUCCAGAUGAUUCCAGCGUAGCUUUAAACAGUCGGUUUCUUCCCAUAUCCAAAGCAAUAAGAUAGCAUUAGGUACUGGGACAGGGAUCUGGAACAUGAGUUUUGAACUGCCUCUUGGCUGCCUUUUCCUCCCAGCUAGGGUCUGCAAGGGUCUCUUCCUCAGGACUUGGCAUUUGGACUUCCUUCCAAAUUUGCAGCUCACCAUGCUGUGCAUCCUAAUACCUGACCCCUUUCCACUUCACCUGAACUAGCUGUAUGCCUCCUUGAUGUUUCUACCAGGCUAUUUAUCUCUGAGGACACGUCGGUCAGUUUCAACUAACCUCUUGUAGUUCUUGAGAACUACAAGUUCUUUUUAUUAAAGCUAAUGUUGUACUCCUGAGUACAGAGCUGGAAACAAAGUUA